Molecule: long non-coding RNA, 394 nt
Filed under: Sus scrofa (pig)
Lineage: Eukaryota; Metazoa; Chordata; Mammalia; Artiodactyla; Suidae
Description: lncRNA (ENSSSCG00050068532.1)
Source: RNAcentral
UGCAUUCUCAUGGAUACUAGGUCGGUUUUGCCCAAAAGCCCUGCUCAGUCUCUGGGGUCAAGCUGGGUCUGACAGGAACUCGUGGGGACUUCGUGGGACAAGGGACUCUCCACAAUGGUCAGGAGACCCACAAGCCACAUGGGCGUGGACAGCAAAAAGGACACCAACCCGGGGCAAUUCACCCCACCCCUGAGGAGGGCAGAGCAGGCUGAGUGCCCCCCUGUGAACAGCCUGCACGGCCCCUCAAUUGGGAAUCAAGGCGACAGGAGCUCGGCUUCCACUCAGCAACCUGAAAUCAUCGCUCUAGAAACUGAGGCUCAGAGGGGACCACAGACUUCUCCCUGAAAAGGCCGCAAGCGCAGGAAGGCGUUUGAGCGAUUACUCGGCUCCGGGC